AUUUACUAGAUUUUAUUUUGUUGAACCUAAAAUUAAUACUUGGGUUGAAUCAAUUAUAUGAGUUUGGAAACAAGAUUGAGAUUUUAUAAUUAUGAGCUACAUUGUUCAUUUGCCAGCUUUGUGCUCAAUUUGGGCCGGCCUCAACCAAAUCGAUGUAACAAGAAAGAUCUUUGUCAAAUUCUGAUAUUAUGCAUCCGGAUUUGGCUCAGGUAUGGGCCUAUACAUAUAAUAUGAAUACUGGAUGGAUUAUAUAGUGGCAAAGAACCAAGUUUUAUGCUAUGAGUGUUGGCCUAGACAACAUGCACAUGCAAAUUCACAAAUAAAGGUCUAGCUUUAAAAAGAAUUGUGCAU
This 351-nucleotide long non-coding RNA is filed under the name Phoenix dactylifera (date palm). Its description in RNAcentral is "long non-coding RNA (PDAC_LNC001522)". The record is from RNAcentral. Lineage: Eukaryota; Viridiplantae; Streptophyta; Magnoliopsida; Arecales; Arecaceae.